AGAGUUUGAUCAUGGCUCAGGAUGAACGCUAGCGGCAGGCCUAAUACAUGCAAGUCGAACGAGAUUAAGAGGCUUGCUUCUUAUGAAAGUGGCGCACGGGUGCGUAACGCGUAUGCAACCUACCUUAAUCAGGGGGAUAGCCCGAAGAAAUUCGGAUUAAGACCGCAUAAAAACACAGGAUAGCAUUAUCCAAUGUUCAAAUAUUUAUAGGAUUAAGAUGGGCAUGCGUGUCAUUAGCUAGUUGGCGGGGUAACGGCCCACCAAGGCGACGAUGACUAGGGGAUCUGAGAGGAUGACCCCCCACACUGGUACUGAGACACGGACCAGACUCCUACGGGAGGCAGCAGUAAGGAAUAUUGGUCAAUGGAGGGAACUCUGAACCAGCCAUGCCGCGUGCAGGAAGACAGCCCUCUGGGUCGUAAACUGCUUUUAUUCGGGAAUAAACCUUUCUACGUGUAGGAAGCUGAAUGUACCGAAGGAAUAAGGAUCGGCUAACUCCGUGCCAGCAGCCGCGGUAAUACGGAGGAUCCAAGCGUUAUCCGGAUUUAUUGGGUUUAAAGGGUGCGUAGGCGGCUUAUUAAGUCAGGGGUGAAAGACGGUGGCUCAACCAUCGCAGUGCCCUUGAUACUGAUGAGCUUGAAUACACUAGAGGUAGGCGGAAUGUGACAAGUAGCGGUGAAUGCAUAGAUAUGUCACAGAACACCGAUUGCGAAGGCAGCUUACUAUGGUGUUAUUGACGCUGAGGCACGAAAGCGUGGGGAUCAAACAGGAUUAGAUACCCUGGUAGUCCACGCCCUAAACGAUGAAUACUCGCUGUUAGCGAUAUACAGUUAGCGGCUAAGCGAAAGCGUUAAGUAUUCCACCUGGGGAGUACGCCCGCAAGGGUGAAACUCAAAGGAAUUGACGGGGGCCCGCACAAGCGGAGGAGCAUGUGGUUUAAUUCGAUGAUACGCGAGGAACCUUACCCGGGCUUGAAAGUUAGUGAAUGAUCUAGAGAUAGAUCAGUGAGCAAUCACACGAAACUAGGUGCUGCAUGGCUGUCGUCAGCUCGUGCCGUGAGGUGUUGGGUUAAGUCCCGCAACGAGCGCAACCCCUAUGUUUAGUUGCCAGCACGUUAAGGUGGGGACUCUAAACAGACUGCCUGUGCAAACAGAGAGGAAGGAGGGGACGACGUCAAGUCAUCAUGGCCCUUACGUCCGGGGCUACACACGUGCUACAAUGGAUGGUACAGAGGGCAGCAAGCUGGCAACAGCAAGCGAAUCUCAAAAAGCUAUUCACAGUUCGGAUAGAGGUCUGCAACUCGACCUCUUGAAGUUGGAUUCGCUAGUAAUCGCGUAUCAGCAAUGACGCGGUGAAUACGUUCCCGGGCCUUGUACACACCGCCCGUCAAGCCAUGGAAGUUGGGGGUACCUAAAGUAUGUAACCGUAAGGAGCGUCCUAGGGUAAAACCGAUA
This 1454-nucleotide ribosomal RNA is filed under the name uncultured Pedobacter sp. RNAcentral's name for it is "bacterial SSU rRNA". It matches the Rfam family "Bacterial small subunit ribosomal RNA". The record is from RNAcentral. Lineage: Bacteria; Pseudomonadati; Bacteroidota; Sphingobacteriia; Sphingobacteriales; Sphingobacteriaceae.